Non-coding RNA from Parelaphostrongylus tenuis, 69 nucleotides. Lineage: Eukaryota; Metazoa; Nematoda; Chromadorea; Rhabditida; Metastrongylidae. The record is from the annotation of a GenBank genome assembly.
GGGUAAUGCAACGGUUUAGCAAGCGCUCCCGGAAAGAGUGAGAACUGGGUUCGAAUCCCAGCUGAAGCA